Molecule: ribosomal RNA, 158 nt
Filed under: Tricholoma caligatum
Lineage: Eukaryota; Fungi; Basidiomycota; Agaricomycetes; Agaricales; Tricholomataceae
Description: 5.8S ribosomal RNA
Rfam family: 5.8S ribosomal RNA
About the family: 5.8S ribosomal RNA (5.8S rRNA) is a component of the large subunit of the eukaryotic ribosome. It is transcribed by RNA polymerase I as part of the 45S precursor that also contains 18S and 28S rRNA.
Source: RNAcentral
CAACUUUCAACAACGGAUCUCUUGGCUCUCGCAUCGAUGAAGAACGCAGCGAAAUGCGAUAAGUAAUGUGAAUUGCAGAAUUCAGUGAAUCAUCGAAUCUUUGAACGCACCUUGCGCUCCUUGGUAUUCCGAGGAGUAUGCCUGUUUGAGUGUCAUGC